CUCGUUCAUCUCUCUCUUUUGAAACGUCGGCGGCGGGUGGUGGCAUCAUUGGCGGCGGCGGCAAAUCAGGUAGAAUCCAUCCCUCUCUCCCUAAGCAUGAUGUUCUCGUCGUCUCUCUAGCGCUACAAAACCACAGGGGGCGGCGACCUGAGGGCGUGGGCUUCUGUGCGCUGGGGUGGUUUUGCGGCGGUGGCCGGAGGAGGCAUAUGACUGGCGGGCUGAAGUCACGGCGUGAUGCGGUGAUGGCGUCGGCGAUGCCGAUGUCUGGAUCUCACAUGGUAACAGCUUGGGGAGGUCAUCCAGCUCGGGCGUGUAGCAAAAACCGGCCGGUGCUAGCUUCUGUGUCUUAUGUCGGUAGAGCUCAACAACACUACGUCUCCCUUCUCUCUUUUAUCUUCUUUGUACUGAAUUGACCCCUCUUUGUUGCAGAAAUUUCACGGCAACCAGGAGUAACAAUAUUUUUGAUUAAUUGGGGAUACGGUGAUGUUCAGGUGACAUGGAACAUGCUGAGAUUUGGACUUCAAUCCUUGAUUGUGCACGGGAACCACACGUCGAUUAGAGUUGUGGCAGCGGCAGAUUCACCUUCCCUUUGUGCCUCGUUGGACACAACAAGGGGUGGGUGUCCCAUCUCCAGUGCGAAAUUGUACUAUGGUAACACCUUGUGUUGUUCAGCUUGGAAUUGGAUACUCGAUGCUGUGUUGCCCCAAAUUAGCAGCUCGUUGUUACUUUGUAAUCAUGAAUAAUUUUCUUUGUUGUGAGUAAUUGUGCAUUGCGAUGGGCUCUUCAUUUUGUUAUCGAAUGUUGCAGACUAUUAUUGGCUUCUCAAUGCUGAUCUGUGAUGCCCAGUUGCCCACUGAUGGUAUAUGUUAUGUCGUGCUCAAAAUAGUCGGGGUAAUAUCUAUGCUUAUGUUGCGUUUGUACAUGAACAGCCAAGGUUGUUGUAGUAAUAAAAUGAGCCCGAUGUUGUCUACUGAUCAUUGUAUAUUGGAUGGGCAAGUAGGGGUUUUUUCUCAUCUUAGUCCUAUAACUUCGUUUGUCUACUCUAUUGUCAUUUACACGCUUCCUUUUAUGCCACAUUGGGGAAUAUUCCUUUUAUGCCAUAGUUUUCUGUUGGAAGACUUCUAUUUCUCCCAUUACAGGGGUGCUAGGCUAUGUAAGCAGCGACACUAUAAUUUUUAUUGAUCUGAAUCUUCGGGCUCUAUUUUCAAAUUUUCAGCUACCAACGCUUGAUCGGGACCUCUCCCAAGACAACGGAUACACUGUUUGGAAAGGAUCGUGAAAGUGACAUGUGUCAUGAGUCUGGUUCAUCGCAACAUCGGUGUUGUUUGGUUCUUCUUUUCUCCAAGCAUGGUUCUGGCUCGGCAGUGGUAGUAGUUGUGGCUAUGGAGAUCAAGAACAAUGGGAAUGAAUGGUGUGACAUCGGUGAUGAUGUAGCUAAAGGAGAGGGUAAACAGACAUGAUGUGUUUCUGACUAAUGGGCUGCAGGGUUGGCAUAAGGGAACUAUUGUUAUGCCUUGUGAGGUCCGACGACGGUGACCGGAUGACUUGAGCAAAGCUGUGAAAAAAUCAGGUAUGUUUUCCACCAAACUCAAGUUGUUAUGUCCAAAUGCAUGGCUUUCUGAAUAAAUGCAGACAAUAUGUUUACUCAUUGUCAAAAUCUUUGUACCUCUAUGCCUACAGCCUACAA
Molecule: non-coding RNA, 1687 nt
Organism: Aegilops tauschii subsp. strangulata
Lineage: Eukaryota; Viridiplantae; Streptophyta; Magnoliopsida; Poales; Poaceae
Source: RefSeq, a predicted model, not a curated record